Molecule: ribosomal RNA, 577 nt
Filed under: uncultured Actinomycetes bacterium
Lineage: Bacteria; Bacillati; Actinomycetota; Actinomycetes
Description: bacterial SSU rRNA
Rfam family: Bacterial small subunit ribosomal RNA
Source: RNAcentral
UUUGAAAGAAUUUCGGUGGAGGAUGACUUCGCGGCCUAUCAGCUAGUUGGUGAGGUAAUGGCUCACCAAGGCAACGACGGGUAGCCGGCCUGAGAGGGCGACCGGCCACACUGGGACUGAGACACGGCCCAGACUCCUACGGGAGGCAGCAGUGGGGAAUAUUGGGCAAUGGAGGAAACUCUGACCCAGCGACGCCGCGUGCGGGAUGAAGGCCUUCGGGUUGUAAACCGCUUUCAGUAGGGAAGAAGCGAAAGUGACGGUACCUACAAAAGAAGCACCGGCUAACUAUGUGCCAGCAGCCGCGGUAAUACAUAGGGUGCAAGCGUUGUCCGGAAUUAUUGGGCGUAAAGAGCUCGUAGGUCGUUUGUUACGUCGGAUGUGAAAACCUGAGGCUCAACCUCAGGCCUGCAUUCGAUACGGGCAAACUAGAGUUUGGUAGGGGAGACUGGAAUUCCUGGUGUAGCGGUGGAAUGCGCAGAUAUCAGGAGGAACACCAAUGGCGAAGGCAGGUCUCUGGGCCAAUACUGACACUGAGGAGCGAAAGUCUGGGGAGCGAACAGGAUUAGAUACCCUGGUA